RNAcentral lists this microRNA (22 nucleotides) under Apis mellifera (honey bee). RNAcentral describes it as "ame-miR-3784-3p". The record is from miRBase by way of RNAcentral. Lineage: Eukaryota; Metazoa; Arthropoda; Insecta; Hymenoptera; Apidae.
UCGCGGAAAAUAAUUUCUAUUU